RNAcentral lists this small RNA (588 nucleotides) under Pongo abelii (Sumatran orangutan). RNAcentral describes it as "processed transcript". Lineage: Eukaryota; Metazoa; Chordata; Mammalia; Primates; Hominidae. The record is from RNAcentral.
ACAUUGCACAGUCACCUAGGACCUGAACAAGGCAAGUUCUCUCUGUCCGUCUGGUUCCAGGUGUUGCAAAAAAUUGACGUCCAGGAGUCCUUCUGUAUGGAAGAAAAACAGAACAAAUUCCGGGUGUACCAGCUGCGGUUUCAGUUCCUGCCACAUGCGUAUUACCAGCAGGAGAAGUGCCUGAGACCCGAGGACAUCCUGCGCUUCAUGGAAACAAGAUUCUUUAAACUUCUGAUGGAAUCCAUCAAAAAGAAGAAUAAUAAAGCAUCAGCCUUCAGGAACGUAAAUACUCGAAGAGCUACGCAGCGGGAUCUGGACAAUGCUGGGGAGUCAGGGAGGAGUCGGGGAGAGCAGGAAGGCGAUGAAGAAGAGGAGGGGCACAUUGUGGAUGCUGAAGCUGAGGAGGGGGACUUCGAUGCCUCUGAUGCCAAACGCAAGGAGAAGCAGGAGGAGGAGGUUGAUUAUGAGAGUGAGGAAGAGGAGGAGAGGGAGGGCGAGGAGAACGACGAUGAAGACAUGCAGGAGGAACGAAAUCCCCGCAGGGAAGGUGCUCGAAAGACCCAAGAGCAAGACGAAGAGGUGGGCUCA